UAGUGGCAGACGGGUGAGUAAUGCGUAGGAAUCUGCCUAGUAGUAUGGAAUAGCUAUUAGAAAUGAUAGGUAAUACUGUAUAAUCCCUGCGGGGGAAAGAUUUAUCGCUAUUAGAUGAGCCUACGUUAGAUUAGCUAGUUGGUAAGGUAAUGGCUUACCAAGGCAAUGAUCUAUAGCUGGUCUGAGAGGACGAUCAGCCACACUGGAACUGAGAUACGGUCCAGACUCCUACGGGAGGCAGCAGUGGGGAAUAUUGGACAAUGGGCGAAAGCCUGAUCCAGCUAUGCCGCGUGAGUGAAGAAGGCCUUCUGGGUUGUAAAACUCUUAAUAGG
This 332-nucleotide ribosomal RNA is filed under the name Ehrlichia ruminantium (heartwater rickettsia). RNAcentral describes it as "bacterial SSU rRNA". It matches the Rfam family "Bacterial small subunit ribosomal RNA", at positions 93 to 441 of the family's 1533-position model. The record is from RNAcentral. Lineage: Bacteria; Pseudomonadati; Pseudomonadota; Alphaproteobacteria; Rickettsiales; Anaplasmataceae.